AACGAACGCUGGCGGCAGGCCUAAAACAUGCAAGUCGAGCGGGCAUAGCAAUAUGUCAGCGGCGGACGGGUGAAUAACACGUGGGAACAUGCCCUUUGGUACGGAACAACUCAGGGAAACUUGAGCUAAUACCCGUAUGUGCCGGUAACGGGAAAGAUUUAUCGCCAAAGGAUUGGCCCGCGUCCGAUUAGCUAGUUGGUGAGGUAACGGCUCACCAAGGCGACGAUCGGUAGCUGGUUUGAGAGAACGAUCAGCCACACUGGGAACUGAGACACGGCCCAGACUCCUACGGGAGGCAGCAGUUGGGAAUCUUGGACAAUGGGGAAACCCUGAUCCAGCCAUGCCGCGUGAGCG
This 354-nucleotide ribosomal RNA is filed under the name uncultured bacterium. RNAcentral's name for it is "bacterial SSU rRNA". It matches the Rfam family "Bacterial small subunit ribosomal RNA", at positions 29 to 407 of the family's 1533-position model. The record is from RNAcentral.